AGGAAACAGGAGAGAGAGAGAGAGGGAGAGAGAGAGGGGAGGGGGCAGCAGCGCUACAGUGAAUGUGUAGGGUCUGGAUAUGCAGGGUCUCAGAGCAUGUUACUCAGAGUGAGUGCCGUACUCAGAGUUGGUUGCCAGUGCAAUCAGCAUUAGAGGUUCGGGCUAUUACCAUCAUGACUGGGUUUGUUUAUUUUUGAAGCAGCUUUAAACAUUAAUUAAGAGGAAAAUUACAAUUAGCGUUACAUUAGUGCUGUGCAUAGGGUUAUCUUUAAGAUAGAAGUAACUGUUAACGUUACUUUUAUGGUCUUUUUCUCAAUUAGUUUUAGUGGAUUUUUAGGAUAAGUGUAUAACACUGAUUUUUAGUAGCGUUAGGGUUAUAAUUAAUGCUAGCUAUGGGAUUAGGGUUACGGUUAGUUGAACUUAUUUUUUUUAACAUUACAAUUCAGUUAAGGUCACUUAGAAAAGUACAGGCACUGUUUUGAAUGCUACACUGAGCAUUAGAGACUUGUUAACAUCAGGUUAAGGGUUAAGUUUAAAGUUACAUUGUGAAUUAAUAUUAUCUCCAGAGCUCUCACUAAGCUUAGGGUUGAGGUCAAGAUUAACAUGAACUCUGCCUCCCAGCCAAUCCCAGUGAAGAAAAGGCAAGCAGAAAACCCAAGGGAACACCAAGGCAAAGGCAAAGAGAACAGCUAGGGAAGGUAAAGACAAAAGCAAAGGCAAUUAGAACGCCCAAGGGAAAGCCAAAAUGAGGGCAAGAGUAAGGGCAAGGAAAAUGCUGCACGGAAGGCCCGGCAGAGAGCAAGGGUAGGGGCAAGGGGCACGGCGGCACGGAAGGCCCGGCCGACGGCAGAGACCAAGGGGCACGGCGGCACGGAAGGCCCGGCCGACGGCAGAGACCAAGGGGCACAGCGGCACGGAAGGCCCGGCCGACGGCAGAGACCAAGGGGCACGGCGGCACGGAAGGCCCAGCUGAGGGCAAAGACCUAGGGGCAAGGAGAACGCGGCACGGAAGGCCUGGCCGACGGCAAAGACCUAGGGGCAAGGUGGCACAGAAGGCCCGGCCGACAACAAAGACCUAGGAGCAAGGAGAACGCGGCACAGAAGGCCCAGCCAACGGCAAAGACCUAGGGGCAAGGAGAACACGGCACGGAAGGCCCAGCCAACGGGAAAGACCUAGGGGCAAGGAGAACGCGGCACGGAAGGCCCGGCCGAGGGCAAUGAAAAUAGCCAGAGAAAGCAAAGGCAAAGAGAACACUGCAGGGAAAGGCCCAAGACAAGGAGAGACUAAGAGCAGGAGGACAGGCAGCCUGUAGGGCACCCUGAAGCAUAGUAACGAGCUCUGGGAACACUAGGUGGAGCCACGCUAUAAUAGGUAAGCACUGGUGGGUGUACACUGCCCUUACCUAUUAGGGCAGCCAGUAAACUAAGUUGGGUCUGAGGGCCUUCUUUCUUCGAGCCAUCAACUUCCAGAGCUGCAGAGCUAGCUUGAAAGUGGUGCCCUGAAGAUGGGAGGGAGAGGGAUGGGGGUGGCAGUGCUACGGUGUAGGUGUAGGGUCUGCAAGUGCAAUGUCUCGGUGCGAACACUGUACUUCUCAUGGUUAAGUGUCUGGAUUUGAUUAGACAGGCCAGAGGCAAGGAGAAAGCAGGAGGAAGAGGACAAGCAGCCGGUAGGGAACCUUUAAGCACAGUAACCAGCUCUGGGAGCACUACAUUGAGCCAUGCUAUGUUAUGAGUAAACGUUGGUAGGGGUACAUUGCCCUUACCUAUAUGGGCAGCCAGUUACCAGUCAGCAAAGUCGGGUUCCAGGGCAUUCCAGGAAAUGCAGCUUCCCAUUUCUUGCUGACUUCUUGAAGAGCCACAGAUAUCCCUGCAGUUCUUGCACCGCCCAGGAGCACCGCAGUUCUCCGCUGCCAC
This is a long non-coding RNA of Numida meleagris (helmeted guineafowl), 1914 nucleotides long. NCBI's taxonomy places the organism in Eukaryota, Metazoa, Chordata, Aves, Galliformes, Numididae. The record is from Ensembl.